CCUACGGGAGGCAGCAGUAGGGAAUAUUGUCCAAUGGGCGCAAGCCUGAGACAGCCAUGCCGCGUGUGAAGAAGGCCCUAGGGUUGUAAAGCACUUUCAGCGGGGAGGAUGAAGCCGAGGUUAAUAGCCUUGGUUGAAGACGUUACCCGCAGAAGAAGGACCGGCUAACUCCGUGCCAGCAGCCGCGGUAAU
RNAcentral lists this ribosomal RNA (192 nucleotides) under uncultured bacterium. Its description in RNAcentral is "partial 16S ribosomal RNA". It matches the Rfam family "Bacterial small subunit ribosomal RNA", at positions 338 to 524 of the family's 1533-position model. The record is from RNAcentral.